GGUGGGGAUGACGUCAAGUCAGCAUGGCCCUUACGUCCGGGCGUACACACGUGCUACAAUGGCCGGUACAAAGGGUUAGCGAAGCCGUGAGGUGGAGCGAAUCUCAAAAAGACCGGCCUCAGUUCGGAUUGGAGGCUGCAGCUCGCCUCCAUGAAGUCGGAAUCGCUAGUAACCGCAGAUCAGCUACGUUGCGGUGAAUACGUUCCCGGGCCUU
This 214-nucleotide ribosomal RNA is filed under the name uncultured cyanobacterium. RNAcentral describes it as "partial 16S ribosomal RNA". It matches the Rfam family "Bacterial small subunit ribosomal RNA", at positions 1172 to 1382 of the family's 1533-position model. The record is from RNAcentral. Lineage: Bacteria; Bacillati; Cyanobacteriota.